RNAcentral lists this transfer RNA (71 nucleotides) under Bacteriophage sp. Its description in RNAcentral is "tRNA-Gln". It matches the Rfam family "tRNA". From Rfam's summary of the family: Transfer RNA (tRNA) molecules are approximately 80 nucleotides in length. Their secondary structure includes four short double-helical elements and three loops (D, anti-codon, and T loops). The record is from RNAcentral.
UGGACUAUGGUGUAAUGGUAGCACAGCAGAUUUUGGUUCUGCUAGUCUCAGUUCGAAUCUGGGUAGUCCAA